Chrysemys picta bellii (western painted turtle) is the source of this 1692-nucleotide long non-coding RNA. The record is from Ensembl. Lineage: Eukaryota; Metazoa; Chordata; Testudines; Emydidae.
UGCAUAUGUUAUUCCUUCUGUGGCAAGACAGUUCUGAGACCCUGCUUCUCCAAAACUUCAUCCAAAGUCUCCUUGGCAGAAUGACUUGCUCUUCCUUUUCCUCUACUGAUUGGACAUCUUCUUUUCUUUAUUUUUCGUCCCGUUUCGAGUGAUGGGAGCUAUCUUCUGAUGUGCUUGGCUGCAUGACACAUGAAGAUACAGCAUAUAUUUAAAGAACUAACACUAGUUCAAAGUACCUGCUUGCAAUUUUAAACGCAAGAAUCCAAUACACUUCUAAUGGCAGCAAGGAGAUUGGAAAAAGAAAAGAAAAGGAAAAAAGCACAUACAAAACAGCAAAUCAACAACAGCCAGGUGGAACAAUGUUAAUGUUUGCAGAUCCUGUUUCUCAAGAGGAAGGUUUAACUCUUUCUGCACACAGCCACAUUUCAGCCACCUUGCUGUCCCUGUACUUCCUUGUCAUGGCUGGAACUGGAAGCAGGUGGUACUGUGACAACAUAAGAAAACCCAGACUCAGGGUAAUUUCCUCCCACCUGACGGGAAGCUGGGCAUUUCAGAUGUCUCACAAGAAAGCAUAUGGACAUCAGGCUUCCAAUCUGAAUUUGCAAGCCCAGCGCUACACAAAGGGCAUGGGGAACCAUGAGAGAAGAGCUGCCUUGAUGCUCUUUUACACUUACAAACAUGCUCCGAAAUGAGCUUCUUUGUAUCGUUCCCGGAGACCCUGCCACACGCAGGCACACCUUACAGAGGACGUCUGGUGGAAACUAGGGAUUGGUGAGCUGGUUCAUAUAACAGGAGAACUGACCUGAACCUUCACUCAAGUUCAGAUCAGAUCCCGAAUGAAAUCUUGUUGGGAUUUCACAAAAAGUUUCAAUGACUUUCCCUCCUAUUAUUUAUCAUGAUUGUUCAUUUCUUCACUUCUGGUUUCCAGGUAUUAUUGGAACCCAAAAUGCUGUCAUGCUGUUGUAUUUCUGGAACUGAAAUUCAUGGGGGGACCACUGGUUUCCAUGAGCUUUCCAGACCAAUUUUGCAGACUCAAUGUUUGGAUAAAUAUCUGUGCCCAGAUUUUCAGAAAUACACAUGUGCAUCUGCACAUGCAAAAAUGUGUGAGCAUUUUCAGACCUGAAUGCACUAAUUAGCAUGUAUAGUUAUCACGGGUACCUGUGCAGAGGGUUGGUUAAAUCUUUUAUUAGUCAGUUAUGUGCACACUUAUCAUGACUGCGCACACUGUCGCAGUAACGCACAUACAAACAAAAUCAGAUGUACAGAUGUGCACCUAUAACUAUAUGCUACCUUAUGUGUGCAAUUCCGUUAGGGGGACCUGAACUUUUAUCUCAACUGAAAAUCAAACCUUUGGAGAUUUGCCCUGCACUAACUAAACCACCCAUCUUUCCCCAAUGUAUCCAUUACCACCAUUGGCUAUUACCAAGACAUUUUUCUUCAAGGAAAAAUUCUAGUGUCGUCAGCCAAUUCCUGUUGUCUGAUUCAUUAAUCACAAUCCAAGUAGUGAAUUGUGGGGGCCUGUAGCAAUGCGGCGACUCACUGGCACGGCGCCUCCUGCUGGUCAUCCUGGGAAUUAUCUCUGUCCACUCAGGAGCGCCCUCAGGAGCCGGUGUCUCGCUUGCCGCUGGCUCCGGUGUCCCUCCCGGACCGCCCCUUCUCUCGGGGUUCUUCCCCCUGCAGUACCCCACAGUA